CGUCAAAUCAUCAUGCCCCUUAUGUCUUGGGCUACACACGUGCUACAAUGGCUGCCACAAAGUGACGCGAGCCCGCGAGGGUGAGCCAACCACAAAAAAGCAGCCCCAGUUCGGAUUGCAGGCUGCAACCCGCCUGCAUGAAGUUGGAAUCGCUAGUAAUCGCGGAUCAGCAUGUCGCGGUGAAUACGUUCCCGGGCCUU
Molecule: ribosomal RNA, 200 nt
Filed under: uncultured prokaryote
Description: partial 16S ribosomal RNA
Rfam family: Bacterial small subunit ribosomal RNA
Source: RNAcentral